GACGAACUGUGCAAACGUUAUUCGGAAUCACUGGGCUUGAAGAGUGCGUAGGCGGUUUCGUAAGUAGGGUGUGAAAGCCCUCGGCUCAACCGGGGAAUUGCGUCCUAAACUGCGAGGCUGGAGUGAGGUAGGGGUGUGCGGAACUUCCAGUGGAGCGGUGAAAUGUGUUGAUAUUGGAAGGAACGCCGGUGGCGAAAGCGGCACACUGGACCUUGUCUGACGCUGAGGCACGAAAGCCAGGGGAGCAAACGGG
Molecule: ribosomal RNA, 253 nt
Filed under: uncultured bacterium
Lineage: Bacteria
Description: partial 16S ribosomal RNA
Rfam family: Bacterial small subunit ribosomal RNA
Source: RNAcentral